RNAcentral lists this ribosomal RNA (521 nucleotides) under uncultured bacterium. RNAcentral's name for it is "bacterial SSU rRNA". It matches the Rfam family "Archaeal small subunit ribosomal RNA", at positions 345 to 866 of the family's 1478-position model. The record is from RNAcentral.
AACCUCCGCAAUGUGAGAAAUCGCGACGGGGGGAUCCCAAGUGCCAUUCUUAACGGGAUGGCUUUUCAUUAGUGUAAAGAGCUUUUGGAAUAAGGGCUGGGCAAGACCGGUGCCAGCCGCCGCGGUAACACCGGCAGCUCUAGUGGUAGCCAUUUUUAUUGGGCCUAAAGCGUUCGUAGCCGGUUUGAUAAGUCUCUGGUGAAAUCCUGUAGCUUAACUGUGGGAAUUGCUGGAGAUACUAUUAGACUUGAGGUCGGGAGAGGUUAGCGGUACUCCCAGGGUAGGGGUGAAAUCCUGUAAUCCUGGGAGGACCACCUGUGGCGAAGGCGGCUAACUGGAACGAACCUGACGGUGAGGGACGAAAGCCAGGGGCGCGAACCGGAUUAGAUACCCGGGUAGUCCUGGCCGUAAACGAUGUGGACUUGGUGUUGGGAUGGCUUCGAGCUGUUUCAGUGCCGAAGGGAAGCUGUUAAGUCCACCGCCUGGGAAGUACGGUCGCAAGACUGAAACUUAAAGGAAUU